AUUGAACGCUGGCGGUAGGCCUAACACAUGCAAGUCGAACGGCAGCACAGUAAUAGCUUGCUCUUACGGGUGGCGAGUGGCGGACGGGUGAGGAAUACAUCGGAAUCUACUUUUUCGUGGGGGAUAACGUAGGGAAACUUACGCUAAUACCGCAUACGACCUACGGGUGAAAGCAGGGGAUCUUCGGACCUUGCGCGAUUGAAUGAGCCGAUGUCGGAUUAGCUAGUUGGCGGGGUAAAGGCCCACCAAGGCGACGAUCCGUAGCUGGUCUGAGAGGAUGAUCAGCCACACUGGAACUGAGACACGGUCCAGACUCCUACGGGAGGCAGCAGUGGGGAAUAUUGGACAAUGGGCGCAAGCCUGAUCCAGCCAUACCGCGUGGGUGAAGAAGGCCUUCGGGUUGUAAAGCCCUUUUGUUUGGAAAGAAAAGCAGCAGGUUAAUACCCCGCUGUUCUGACGGUACCCAAAGAAUAAGCACCGGCUAACUUCGUG
RNAcentral lists this ribosomal RNA (492 nucleotides) under uncultured bacterium. RNAcentral's name for it is "partial 16S ribosomal RNA". It matches the Rfam family "Bacterial small subunit ribosomal RNA", at positions 30 to 507 of the family's 1533-position model. The record is from RNAcentral.